GAUGAACGCUGGCGGCGUGCCUAAUACAUGCAAGUCGAGCGAACGGACGAGAAGCUUGCUUCUCUGAUGUUAGCGGCGGACGGGUGAGUAACACGUGGAUAACCUACCUAUAAGACUGGGAUAACUUCGGGAAACCGGAGCUAAUACCGGAUAAUAUUUUGAACCGCAUGGUUCAAAAGUAAAAGACGGUCUUGCUGUCACUUAUAGAUGGAUCCGCGCUGCAUUAGCUAGUUGGUAAGGUAACGGCUUACCAAGGCAACGAUGCAUAGCCGACCUGAGAGGGUGAUCGGCCACACUGGAACUGAGACACGGUCCAGACUCCUAAGGGAGGCAGCAGUAGGGAAUCUUACGCAAUGGGCGAAAGCCUGACGGAGCAACGCCGCGUGAGUGAUGAAGGUCUUCGGAUCGUAAAACUCUGUUAUUAGGGAAGAACAUAUGUGUAAGUAACUGUGCACAUCUUGACGGUACCUAAUCAGAAAGCCACGGCUAACUACGUG
This 497-nucleotide ribosomal RNA is filed under the name uncultured bacterium. RNAcentral describes it as "partial 16S ribosomal RNA". It matches the Rfam family "Bacterial small subunit ribosomal RNA", at positions 28 to 507 of the family's 1533-position model. The record is from RNAcentral.